GGGCAGGUGGCAGAGCGGUCGAAUGCUCCGGUCUUGAAAACCGGCAGACCCUCACGGGUCUCGUGGGUUCGAAUCCCACCCUGCCCG
This 87-nucleotide transfer RNA is filed under the name Gemmatimonadota bacterium. RNAcentral describes it as "tRNA-Ser". It matches the Rfam family "tRNA". From Rfam's summary of the family: Transfer RNA (tRNA) molecules are approximately 80 nucleotides in length. Their secondary structure includes four short double-helical elements and three loops (D, anti-codon, and T loops). Further hydrogen bonds mediate the characteristic L-shaped molecular structure. tRNAs have two regions of fundamental functional importance: the anti-codon, which is responsible for specific mRNA codon recognition, and the 3' end, to which the tRNAs corresponding amino acid is attached (by aminoacyl-tRNA synthetases). tRNAs cope with the degeneracy of the genetic code in two manners: having more than one tRNA (with a specific anti-codon) for a particular amino acid; and 'wobble' base-pairing, i.e. permitting non-standard base-pairing at the 3rd anti-codon position. Lineage: Bacteria; Pseudomonadati; Gemmatimonadota. The record is from RNAcentral.